CCUGCAGGAAAGGACAUCAACCGAGACUCCGCAAGUAGUGGCGAGCGAACGCGGACCAGGCCAGUGGCAAUGAGGAAUAAAGUGGAACGAUCUGGAAAGUUCGGCCGUAGCGGGUGAUAGCCCCGUACACGUAGAACACUCAUUGUCCUUGAGUAAGGCGGGACACGUGAAAUCCUGUCUGAACAUGGGGAGACCACUCUCCAAGCCUAAGUACUCGUGCAUGACCGAUAGCGAACAAGUACCGUGAGGGAAAGGUGAAAAGCACCCCGACAAGGGGAGUGAAAUAGAACCUGAAACCGGAUGCCUACAAACAGUCGGAGCCCGCAAGGGUGACGGCGUACCUUUUGUAUAAUGGGUCAACGACUUAGUGUGGCAUGCAAGCUUAAGCCGGUAGGUGGAGGCGUAGCGAAAGCGAGUCUGAACAGGGCGCUUUAGUAUGUCGCAUUAGACCCGAAACCGAGUGAUCUAGCCAUGAGCAGGUUGAAGGUUGGGUAACACCAACUGGAGGACCGAACCCGCAUCUGUUGCAAUAGAUUGGGAUGACUUGUGGCUAGGGGUGAAAGGCCAAUCAAACUCGGAAAUAGCUGGUUCUCCGCGAAAACUAUUUAGGUAGUGCGUCGACCGAAUACCCUCGGGGGUAGAGCACUGGAUGGGCUAUGGGGACUCACCGUCUUACUGAUCCUAACCAAACUCCGAAUACCGAGGAGUACUAGUCGGCAGACUCACGGCGGGUGCUAACGUCCGUCGUGAAAAGGGCAACAACCCUGACCUCCAGCUAAGGUCCCCAAGUCAUGGCUAAGUGGGAAAGGAUGUGAGGAUCCCAAAACAACCAGGAUGUUGGCUUAGAAGCAGCCAUCAUUUAAAGAAAGCGUAACAGCUCACUGGUCUAAAUAAGGGUCUUUGCGCCGAAAAUGUAACGGGGCUGAAGCCAUGCACCGAAGCUGAGGAUACGUCGUAAGACGUGUGGUAGCGGAGCGUUCCGUAAGCCAGUGAAGGGAUACCCGUGAGGGGUCCUGGAGGUAUCGGAAGUGCGAAUGUUGACAUGAGUAACGAUAAAGAGGGUGAGAGACCCUCUCGCCGAAAGACCAAGGGUUCCUGCUUAAAGUUAAUCUGAGCAGGGUUAGCCGGCCCCUAAGACGAGGCGGACACGCGUAGUCGAUGGGAACCACGUUAAUAUUCGUGGGCCUGGUGGUAGUGACGGAUUGCUCAACUUGUCCGGACUUAUUGGAUUGUCCGGGCGGGGACGCGGUUCCAGGAAAUAGCUCCACCGUAUAGACCGUACCCGAAACCGACACAGGUGGUCAGGUAGAGUAUACCAAGGCGCUUGAGAGAACUAUGUUGAAGGAACUCGGCAAAUUGCACGCGUAACUUCGGAAGAAGCGUGACCCUUUUCUACGCAAGUAGGAUGGGGUGGCACAGACCAGGGGGUAGCGACUGUUUAUCAAAAACACAGGGCUCUGCGAAGUCGCAAGACGACGUAUAGGGUCUGACGCCUGCCCGGUGCUGGAAGGUUAAGAGGAGGGGUGCAAGCUCUGAAUCGAAGCCCCAGUAAACGGCGGCCGUAACUAUAACGGUCCUAAGGUAGCGAAAUUCCUUGUCGGGUAAGUUCCGACCUGCACGAAUGGCGUAACGACUUCCCCGCUGUCUCCMACAUAGACUCAGUGAAAUUGAAUUCCCCGUGAAGAUGCGGGGUUCCUGCGGUCAGACGGAAAGACCCCGUGCACCUUUACUAUAGCUUUACACUGGCAUUCGUGUCGGCAUGUGUAGGAUAGGUGGUAGGCUUUGAAGCGGGGACGCC
This 1798-nucleotide ribosomal RNA is filed under the name Ensifer meliloti. RNAcentral's name for it is "Sinorhizobium meliloti bacterial LSU rRNA". It matches the Rfam family "Bacterial large subunit ribosomal RNA", at positions 209 to 2172 of the family's 2925-position model. Lineage: Bacteria; Pseudomonadati; Pseudomonadota; Alphaproteobacteria; Hyphomicrobiales; Rhizobiaceae. The record is from RNAcentral.